This 503-nucleotide ribosomal RNA is filed under the name uncultured bacterium. Its description in RNAcentral is "partial 16S ribosomal RNA". It matches the Rfam family "Bacterial small subunit ribosomal RNA", at positions 30 to 523 of the family's 1533-position model. The record is from RNAcentral.
AUUGAACGCUGGCGGCAGGCUUAACACAUGCAAGUCGAGCGGGGUGAUGGUGCUUGCACUAUCACUUAGCGGCGGACGGGUGAGUAAUGCUUAGGAAUCUGCCUAUUAGUGGGGGACAACAUCUCGAAAGGGAUGCUAAUACCGCAUACGUCCUACGGGAGAAAGCAGGGGAUCACUUGUGACCUUGCGCUAAUAGAUGAGCCUAAGUCGGAUUAGCUAGUUGGUGGGGUAAAGGCCUACCAAGGCGACGAUCUGUAGCGGGUCUGAGAGGAUGCUCCGCCACACUGGGACUGAGACACGGCCCAGAAUCCUACGGGAGGCAGCAGUGGGGAAUAUUGGACAAUGGGGGGAACCCUGAUCCAGCCAUGCCGCGUGUGUGAAGAAGGCCUUAUGGUUGUAAAGCACUUUAAGCGAGGAGGAGGCUCUUUUGGUUAAUACCCAAGAUGAGUGGACGUUACUCGCAGAAUAAGCACCGGCUAACUCUGUGCCAGCAGCCGCAGUAA